RNAcentral lists this unclassified non-coding RNA (329 nucleotides) under uncultured Ophiostomataceae. RNAcentral's name for it is "sequence contains ITS1". The stretch from base 1 to 105 matches the Rfam family "5.8S ribosomal RNA", at positions 50 to 154 of the family's 154-position model. The record is from RNAcentral. Lineage: Eukaryota; Fungi; Ascomycota; Sordariomycetes; Ophiostomatales.
GAACUGCGAUAAGCAAUGCGAAUUGCAGAAUUCCGCGAGUCAUCAGAUCUUUGAACGCAACUGGCGCUGAGGGGCUAUCCUCUCAGCAUGCUUGUUUCAGUGUGUUUGUUAACUGCUCACGCACCUGAGUGCGAUUGAAGUGACAUAAAUUAUCGAUGUCACUUCUCUCGUUAAACGCGAGAGUCGGGCUGGCUGCUCGCGCCCAACGAAGCGGUCACUUUGCAAAAGGUGAUUUCGUUGCAAGCGCGGACGCCUAACAUGGCCCUCUCACCAAACACAACAAUCUCCAUCAGCACCUGAAAUCAAGCAAGAUUACCCGCUGAACUUAA